GGGGGCGAAUUGGUUUCGACCGGGUACGCUGAGGCGUAGGUGGCGUGUCGUGGUUGAUCAGAAGGCCACGUAAAAAUCUGAUCACACUUGAUAACUGCUGAACCGCAGUUCUCCAUGGCGGCCUAAUAACGGCUGCCCCGUGUCCGGGAACUUCGCCUGAAAGGUUCCGGCUCGGAUGCUAAGUCAGGCUCGCGGUCGUCGGAGGCCGGCCUUUCGGGGCCGAUCACACCGAAGGAGACGAUGGCUAAACUUCACAAUCGGUUAGUCCUUCGCUCGCCCUGCUCCCGGGAAGGCGAAGGGUGAACGUGACGGGCGGGGCCGCAAGGUUCCGGCCCGUCGAAAGUAGAGGAGAUACACACGUAGAGGCCGACGCUUAACUGCCUCGGGACCGGGGUUCGAUUCCCCGCGCCUCCACUC
This 417-nucleotide transfer-messenger RNA is filed under the name Gemmataceae. RNAcentral describes it as "UBA4732 sp002404095 Standard tmRNA". It matches the Rfam family "transfer-messenger RNA". Rfam says of the family: Bacterial tmRNA, also known as 10Sa RNA or SsrA, is named for its dual tRNA and mRNA-like properties. Its role is to liberate the mRNA from a stalled ribosome. To accomplish this part of the tmRNA is used as a reading frame that ends in a translation stop signal. Lineage: Bacteria; Pseudomonadati; Planctomycetota; Planctomycetia; Gemmatales. RNAcentral also lists the same sequence under 1 other name. The record is from RNAcentral.